GGCGGUCAGAGACUAAUGGAGACACGGCUUGAGGGUGAUGACGGGGGAACAGAGGACGGAGAGCUCAGGAGGGCCCAGGUGAGGAGAAGCCUUGUGGUCUGGUGCAGCAUUUAACAGCUGCUGACAAACUGCAUGGGUUUGAAUCCAGAGCCCAUCACCUGAUAGUUUUGUGAUCCCGAGUAAGACAAGCAACAUCCAGAGAGAUACCAUAACUUGCCAAAGGCAUGACAGCUGAGACUGAGCCCGGGCUCUGCCAUCCUGAGCAUAUGAUGCUAGGCAAGUCACAUCACCUCUCUGUGCCUCAGUUUCCUCUCAACCAAAGACUAUCAUCUCUUCCCAGCCUUCUACCUCACAGAGUAGUUUGGAGGAUCCCAUAAAACAAUGUCUGUGAAAAAGGCUUUCUCUUUAAAAAAUAAAUUGCACAAAUAGCAGAUCACAAAGGACGAAGACCCUUUACAGAGGAGCAAGUUCUCUAGGGCACAGCUCCCUCCGAGCAAGACUUUGUAGAGAAUCUUGACCCCGGGAGCCCUGCAUCAGCAUCGCCAGUGGAUGCCGGUGUUAAUUCUGCGGACAUCAGGAGCAUGAGAAGAGACAAGGCCUUCGUGACGUUGCACAUGCAUGCUGGGUAAAGGCUUUGCAGGGGAAAUGUCUGGAAGGCAGAGGGCUAGGAAGAAGAGUUUAUUUAGGGGGAACAUUGCAAAGAUAAUACUUCAAACUCCUUUGUAGAAAAAACUUACUUAAAAAUCAAGACCCAAAGGCUGCAGAAAGGAGUCACCCAGCAAGCACUUAACAGCCAGCGAUGACUGACAGUUUGGUACAAAAGAAGACCAAAACUAAAGUGGGAGUGGGGAGCCGGACAAGCCAGAGUGUGCCUCACAGGCAAUGUAUCAAUAAGUUUCUUUUGGGCUUCCCUGGUGGCGCAGUGGUUGAGAGUCCGCCUGCCGAUGUAGGGGACAUGGGUUCAUGCCCCGGUCCGGGAGGAUCCCACGUGCCGCGGAGCGGCUGGGCCCGUGAGCCAUGCCCGCCGAGCCUGCGCAUCCGGAGCCUGUGCUCCGCAACGGGAGAGGACACAACGGUGAGAGGCCCGCGUACCGCAAAAAAAAAAAAAAAAAAAAAAAAAGUUUCUUUUUACAGCCCCUUCCCAUCUCCCAGUCAGCUGUACUUCUGAAGCUCUGGCCUCCUGUCUUGCCUUGAGCUUUAUGCCCCUCUCUUACGUUAACAGACAUCCAUCAGGGGUCACUCUGAAGUUCUCUUGGAGACAGCAUAGCUCAGUGAUUAAAAGCAGUGACUCUGGGGCCUUCUCUGUUGGUCCAGUGAGUAAGACUCAGCGCUCCCAAUGCAGAGGGCCCGGGAUCGAUCCCUGGUUGGGGAGCUGGACCCCGCAUGCCUGCCGCAACUAAGAGUCCACAAUGCCGCAACUAAGACCCGGCGCAGCCUAAAUAAAUAAAUAAAUAAAAUAAAAUAAAAGCAGGGACUCUGGAGUCUGCCUGCCUAAGUCUGAACCUCAGCUUUACCAAUUACUAGCUGUGCAUCAUCAGUCAAAUUUCUUCACUUCUCUAAGCCUCAUCUGCCAAAUGGAGUAACACCUCAUGGGAUUGUUAGGAAGAUUAAACGAGUUAAUAUAAUAGGAAAAUGCUUUGAAUAGUGCCUGGUACAUGGUCUGUAAUAUACAAACGUUGGUUAAAUAAAAUGAACUGCGAGAGAAGUGACUUCUGUACACCUUUCUGAGCCAGAAGAUAGAGCCACACGAUGACACACACUGAGCAACACAGAAGCCAGAGAAUGGAGUUGUUGGCAGUGGAAUUUACUGUUGGGAUAUGACAGAGAGAUGACUGUAUAUUAAGUACAUUAGAUAAAGCCAAGAGGACAGAUUAGAAUCUAGAAAGCACUAAUGGAAUUUCCCUCUAGAAUGCUGGGAAGGACCUCUACCUUCACAAGACAAACGUCAUGGCUUCUCAAUUGUGAAGGGGACACUGGGGGUCUGAACAAAGUACCUUUGCCAGGAUUUAAGAGGAUCCAUCUUUCACACCUAUCAAAGAAGGAACUUGCAACACAGCCUCUCUCUGAGUCUCAGGACAGUGGAACACCCCAGGGCUGGUGGGCAGGCCUGCUGGGGAGAAGAUAUAGUGUGUGUUAAAUGACUGACACUGGGUGGAACAAGAGGCUUGUCUCUGACUGGUGAGUUAGACACAGUCCUGGGCAGGAGGCCAAAUUAGAUGGGUUGGCAUUGGUCCCACUCUUCAGACCCAUCUAUCUUUGGUCUCUCAAAUUAAACCCAAAGUGGCAUCCAUCUUCACUCUGGUCUCCCAUUCCUUCCAGGAAGACUUCCUCCUUUUCCUGCCAAGCCUGAUCUAGUGGAGCAGAAAAGUCCAAUGCUUUGGUACAGAGUAAAUCUUUAUCUUGCCUUUAAAUGCACUUUGAAUGUUCUUGGCUCAUUGGUCAAACAUCCAUGUCCUCUGCAUAGUCACGUGAAUUGGUCUCUAGAGGAUAUGGAUUCUGUUUGCUUGAUUUGGCCAGAAGAGACAUCACUCAGCACAAUUACUUUUAAAAGGCGUUUGAUUAUAACUAACCAUACUGAAAGCACAUUUUCCAGACAAGAGCCUCACCUGUUGAUGAGGUUGCAUCCAGUUUUCUUUUGAAUUUUCUCAAGCUCCUUUUAGAUACAUAUUGUAAAACAAAUACCCUCAAUUAAGAGAUAAUUGAUAUUGAGAAGCCUCUCAGACCUUCUUGCCCCCAAGUGGCCUGAAUUCCCUUAUGGCACGGUUAAGGGCAUGGGCUCUGGAGUCUACAUUUCGUCUCCAAUACUUUGCUGGCUGUGCAACAUUGGACAAGUUACAUAAGCUCUCUGAAAAACGUAAACCCCAUCAGCAAAAUGGAGUUAGCUCAUAGAGCUCUCUGAGAAUUGAGUAAAAUAAUGCAAUAAAGCAUUUAUCACAUUACUUAACAUAUACUACAUGUCCAUACAUCAUCCUUAACAGCUGCAUUUUAAAAUUUGGAAUUCAGGGCUUCCCUGGUGGCGCAGUGGUUGAGAAUCUGCCUGCCGAUGCAUGGGACGUGGGUUCGUGCCCCGGUCUGGGAAGAUCCCACAUGCCGCGGAGCGUUUGGGCCUGUGAGCCAUGGCCGUUGAGCCUGCGCGUCCGGAGACUGUGCUCUGCAAAGGGAGAGGCCACGACAGUGAGAGGCCCGCUUACCGCAAAAAAAAAAAAAAAAUUUGGAAUUCAUUUGCUGAUUUGCGUUAUCUUUCCAAGGGCAAAUUGAUUAGCCUGCCCACCCAAAUUGUAAACUCUGAACGACAAAAAUGCAUAUAACAUAAUUUGUAAUCACUGCAGAGACAUUAAAAUUUUUGAUGACUUAUUAUCUAUACCAACUAGUGAUUCUCAAAAAUUUUUAGGUCACAGGCCAUUUCCACAAAAUGAAAAAUUCCAUAGAAUAGUAAAUUUAUUAUUUGUUUAUCUCUGCAAA
This is a long non-coding RNA of Physeter macrocephalus (sperm whale), 3462 nucleotides long. RefSeq lists it as uncharacterized. Lineage: Eukaryota; Metazoa; Chordata; Mammalia; Artiodactyla; Physeteridae. The record is from RefSeq and is a predicted model, not a curated record. The transcript is spliced from 3 exons.